CGGGAUGGUAAGUCAGUGGUGAAAGCCCGAGGCUUAACUUCGGGAUUGCCAUUGAAACUACCCUUCUUGAGUAUAGUCGAAGACGGCGGAAUGAGUUAUGUAGCGGUGAAAUGCAUAGAUAUAACUCAGAACACCGAUUGCGAAGGCAGCUGUCUAGGCUGAGACUGACGCUGAGGCACGAAAGCGUGGGGAGCGAACAGGAUUAGAUACCCUGGUAGUCCACGCUGUAAACUAUGAUCACUCGCUGUUGGCAAUAUAAAGUCAGCGGCUGAGCGAAAGCAUUAAGUGAUCCACCUGGGGAGUACGUCGGCAACGAUGAAACUCAAAGGAAUUGACGGGGGCCCGCACAAGCGGAGGAACAUGUGGUUUAAUUCGAUGAUACGCGAGGAACCUUACCUGGGCUUAAAUGUAGAGUGCAUGGAGGGGAAACCUUCCUUUCCUUCGGGACUCUUUACAAGGUGCUGCAUGGUUGUCGUCAGCUCGUGCCGUGAGGUGUCGGGUUAAGUCCCAUAACGAGCGCAACCCCUAUCGUUAGUUGCCAUCAGGUCAUGCUGGGGACUCUAGCGAGACUGCCGGUGUAAACCGGAGGAAGGUGGGGAUGACGUCAAAUCAGCACGGCCCUUACGCCCAGGGCUACACACGUGUUACAAUGGCCGGAACAAAGAGCAGCUCCUACGCGAGUAGAUGCUAAUCUCUAAAACCGGUCUCAGUUCGGAUCGGAGUCUGCAAUUCGACUCCGUGAAGGUGGAU
This 750-nucleotide ribosomal RNA is filed under the name uncultured Bacteroidota bacterium. RNAcentral's name for it is "bacterial SSU rRNA". It matches the Rfam family "Bacterial small subunit ribosomal RNA", at positions 576 to 1331 of the family's 1533-position model. The record is from RNAcentral. Lineage: Bacteria; Pseudomonadati; Bacteroidota.